GGCAUCCGGAACUGUCAGGCUAGAGUGCAGGAGAGGAAGGUAGAAUUCCCGGUGUAGCGGUGAAAUGCGUAGAGAUCGGGAGGAAUACCAGUGGCGAAGGCGGCCUUCUGGACUGACACUGACACUGAGGUGCGAAAGCGUGGGUAGCAAACAGGAUUAGAUACCCUGGUAGUCCACGCCGUAAACGAUGUCGACCAGCCGUUGGGUGCCUAGCGCACUUUGUGGCGAAGUUAACGCGAUAAGUCGACCGCCUGGGGAGUACGGCCGCAAGGUUAAAACUCAAAUGAAUUGACGGGGGCCCGCACAAGCGGUGGAGCAUGUGGUUUAAUUCGAUGCAACGCGAAGAACCUUACCUACUCUUGACAUCCUGCGAAUUCGGUAGAGAUACCUUAGUGCCUUCGGGAGCGCAGAGACAGGUGCUGCAUGGCUGUCGUCAGCUCGUGUUGUGAAAUGUUGGGUUAAGUCCCGUAACGAGCGCAACCCUUGUCCUUAUUUGCCAGCACGUAAUGGUGGGAACUCUAAGGAGACUGCCGGUGACAAACCGGAGGAAGGUGGGGACGACGUCAAGUCAUCAUGGCCCUUACGAGUAGGGCUACACACGUGCUACAAUGGCCGGUACAAAGGGCUGCGAGCUCGCGAGAGUCAGCGAAUCCCUUAAAGCCGGUCUCAGUCCGGAUCGGAGUCUGCAACUCGACUCCGUGAAGUCGGAAUCGCUAGUAAUCGUGAAUCAGAAUGUCACGGUGAAUACGUUCCCGGGCCUUGCACACACCGCCCGU
Molecule: ribosomal RNA, 776 nt
Filed under: uncultured bacterium
Lineage: Bacteria
Description: bacterial SSU rRNA
Rfam family: Bacterial small subunit ribosomal RNA
Source: RNAcentral